AACGGACCAAAUCUGUAGCUUGCUACGGAUUUGGUUAGUGGCAGACGGGUGAGUAAUGCAUAGGAAUCUACCUAGUAGUAUGGGAUAGCCACUGGAAAUGGUGGGUAAUACCGUAUAAUCCCCGCGGGGGAAAGAUUUAUCGCUAUUAGAUGAGCCUAUGUCGGAUUAGCUAGUUGGUGGGGUAAUGGCCUACCAAGGCAGUGAUCUGUAGCUGGUCUGAGAGGAUGAUCAGCCACACUGGAACUGAGACACGGUCCAGACUCCUACGGGAGGCAGCAGUGGGGAAUAUUGGACAAUGGGCGCAAGCCUGAUCCAGCUAUGCCGCGUGAGUGAGGAAGGCCUUAGGGUUGUAAAACUCUUUCAGUAGGGAAGAUAAUGACGGUACCUACAGAAGAAGUCCCGGCAAACUCCGUGCCAGCAGCCGCGGUAAUACGGAGGGGGCAAGCGUUGUUCGGAAUUAUUGGGCGUAAAGGGCAUGUAGGCGGUUUGGUAAGUUAAAGGUGAAAUACCAGGGCUUAACCCUGGGGCUGCUUUUAAUACUGCAGGACUAGAGUCCGGAAGAGGAU
This 566-nucleotide ribosomal RNA is filed under the name uncultured Anaplasma sp. RNAcentral's name for it is "bacterial SSU rRNA". It matches the Rfam family "Bacterial small subunit ribosomal RNA", at positions 65 to 659 of the family's 1533-position model. Lineage: Bacteria; Pseudomonadati; Pseudomonadota; Alphaproteobacteria; Rickettsiales; Anaplasmataceae. The record is from RNAcentral.